UGAGGCUAUUGUCUUGAGUUGAAGUUUUGAAUUCUUUAUUUUCAAUUUUCUUUCAUACCAUGGCAAGCAUAUCAUACGGUAUGGUUGUCAAUCUCGACUGGCAUCUUACUGCUGAGGGAGAGACUAUUCUACAAUAUUUUUACAAUCCUCAAACAAACGGCAGGAAGUUAUUUGGUCUACUAGAACGUCCAGCUGUUCCCUCUAACAUAGAGGAAGUCUGCUAUAAAUUAUUCUUUGUUGGCAAGUCAGGUGCCGGAAAAUCGGCAGCUAUUGCACGUCUGGCAGGAACAACAUUUAUGGCAACACAUGUGGAGUCUUAUGGUAUCAGGAAGACCAAUAUAUUUUGGCCAGUUAAAAUUUGGAACAAAAUAAUCCUGUUCGAGUUACAUUGUUGGGAGUCAAGUGACUCGAGCCUAAAGAAAUGUGGUCAUAUUCUUCCAGCAUGUAAAGACAAAGCAGAUGCCUUUGUGUAUGUUUUUUCUCAUUCCGAUGCGAGCAGUUUCCUGGACAUUCCACAGUUAAUGAAUAAACUAACAAAGGAUGAACCAGACCAUCCUGCAAAUAUUAUUAUAGGAACAAGGUACAGCGCAACUUCCAGCGCAACUUCCAAAAUGGAAGUUUCUCUAGCAGACACCAAACAGUUUGAGACUAAAUGGCAGAUACCGGUUCUCAAAAUGAACAAGCUUUCCCCAACGGAUCGUAAUGAAACCCACCAAAUGGCCCCUCUACUGAAUAUAAUUUGUGAGCAACUCUGGAUUCGUGAUCAAGAGUACAUUCUUAAGCAGGGUCUCACAUCCUAGAUUUUUAAAAAAUCAUUAAAUUUCUGCCUGUUGCAUCUAGUCAUCCACCAUCACUGAGGAAAAUACAUUAAUAAACCUAAAAAUAGAUGACACAAUUUAAAAAAGAACAUGCCAUGGAUGACCAGCUUGUAGGAGAAAGAAGCCUAUUCAUUUCAAAAGGACUACAUUUUGGUGAACAGUGGGUAAGUGCACAUAUGAACUUGUUUGUAGAUACGCGGUGAUUCAGAUGGAACCAGCUUGUGCUUUAUCUCUGCAAAAUGUAAAUCUCGGAUAAAGCAAAUACAUAGAUUAAAGAGGUAAACCAUUUGUUGGAAAGUAGCAAGAAACUGGUAGAUCACUUGAAUCUGUACAUGAGGUCUCACAGGCCCCUUUUUGCAGUUUCCAAAAAUGCAAUUAUUUCAAAGUUGAAGUUUCAUUUUUGGAGUCCCCAAACAAAAGUGGCAACCCUGCUACCCUAUUUACUCCGCAUCUGUGAAUGAAGAGUUUGACUAGAUACGAAGGUGGACUCUCAGCGUAGCAUGAGAUAUCCCUUACAUUGUGACUUCAAUUUUUAGAGCUUUCUUAGAGCUUUGGAACUUGAUUCGGUAAAAACCAAUGUCAUGCAUCAUUGGGUUUCUCAAGAAUUUUAAGCAAGAAAAUGUACUUAAAUAGCAAAUCCUUGACACAUGCAAGAGCUCUAUUCUCAGGACUUCUAUCAUUGAUCUUCGAAGUCUUUCUCUUCUUCUAAAAGUAAGACGCCUAAUAUGCAUCAUUUUAUCAAUUUGAUCAAUGUAUUUAUAUUCGGAUGGUAGGAAAUGGUGGUGGAUAGACUCUGAAGUGAAGGAGGCAAGAGAAUGGCUAUUGAUACUACAAAGAUACGCAAAUGACUCAGAAGAGGCCAAUGAAAGUUUUAAAAGUUUUCAAAGAAAAUACUUGACAUUAUUACAAAGAAAAAAGUCGGAGCAUAUUCAAAAAGCAAUCAACAAUAGUAAAAAUCCGUCAAAAACUCUGUGGGAUCAAGUGAAGAGAAACUCAAAUUUUAAAGAAAAAAGUAAAAAGAAUUUUAUUUUAAAUAGGAAUGAAAUACCACCGCAUGAAAUAAUGAAUGAAUACAAUAAAUUUUCAACGACGAUAAAAGAAAGGGUUACUCUCAUCAAAAGCAAUCUAGAUCCACUAGCAGUAGUACCUAGAAUAGAAAAUACAUGUGUACUACAUCCGACGGAUAUCUAUGAAGUGGAGACCAUUAUAAAUGAACUGAAAAAUAAAAGUUCAGUGGGUGAAGAUCAAAUCCCCAUCCAGAUAAUAAAAAAAUCAGUCAAACACACACGUGAAAUAAUAGCGAGAGUUUUCAAUCUCAUGAUAGAAUGUGGGCAGUACCCAUCUGCCUUAAAAAUUGCAAAAAUUAUUCCAAUCUACAAGAAAGGAGAACCCUCAGAGUACAGUAACUACAGGCCACUAGCACUGCUGCCUAAUUUCUCCAAAAUAUUUGAAAAAUUAAUUUAUAAAAGGGUAUAUAAGUUUCUAGAAAAACAUAGGAUCUUUUGCAGGAAGCAGUUUGGUUACAGGAAACACUGCUCAACGACGGAAGCUUUGUUUGAGAUAUUAGACGAAAUUACACAGGAUGAUUUACAACACCCAAAUCUAGCAGUGUUUUGUGAUCUAACAAAAGCGUUUGACUUAGUUGAUAGAGACUUGCUGUUAAAAAUUUUGGAGAAAGUAGGCAUAAGAGGAAAAGCGGGCAGUGUCUUACGGUCAUAUUUACAUCAGUGGCUUCAAUAUGCUGAAGUUAAAGUAGAAGGAAAAACGUACAUCUCAAUGAAAUUAUUAAACGAAUAUGGAGUUCCCCAGGGUAGUAUCUUAGGGCCGCUUUUAUUUAUAAUCUAUGUAAUGUAUGUAAAUAAUGUACUAAUGAGUGGCUCGGCUGUGGAUUAUGUAGAUGACAAAACAGUGGUUUUCAAACAACUAAAAAACGAGGAAGACUGGAAAUCAGUAAAGAAGGAUGUAAUUAAUCUAAGAGAACUAUAUUCAGCCAUGUCACAGUCAUUCAGCACGGAAAAAUCAGUAUACAUGCUAUUCGGCAAAAACGGAAAGCACGAAGUGAACUUGAUUCAAUGGAAAGACAGCCAACCACUGGGUGAAAUCGAAAGGGUGAAUAAACACAAAGUACUAGGACUAAUAAUACAGGAAAAUAUUGAAUGGAAUGAGCAUAUAGACGCGAUAGUAAAAAAACUAGGAUCCUACAGCUA
Molecule: RNA transcript, 3025 nt
Organism: Bemisia tabaci
Lineage: Eukaryota; Metazoa; Arthropoda; Insecta; Hemiptera; Aleyrodidae
Gene name: ciliogenesis and planar polarity effector 2
Source: RefSeq, a predicted model, not a curated record